GUGAGGAAUAUUGGUCAAUGGGCGAGAGCCUGAACCAGCCAAGUCGCGUGAAGGAUGAAGGUUUUAUGAAUUGUAAACUUCUUUUGCAGGGGAAUAAAGUACGGUACGUGUACCGUUUUGUAUGUACUCUGCGAAUAAGGAUCGGCUAACUCCGUGCCAGCAGCCGCGGUAAUACGGAGGAUCCAAGCGUUAUCCGGAUUUAUUGGGUUUAAAGGGUGCGCAGGCGGGUUGAUAAGUCAGCGGUGAAAGUUUGUAGCUUAACUGUAAAAUUGCCGUUGAAACAGUCGAUCUUGAGUGCAAAUGAGGUAAGCGGAAUGUGUUGUGUAGCGGUGAAAUGCUUAGAUAUAACACAGAACACCGAUUGCGAAGGCAGCUUACUGGGAUGCAACUGACGCUCAUGCACGAAAGCGUGGGGAUCAAACAGGAUUAGAAACCCCUGUAGUCC
Molecule: ribosomal RNA, 445 nt
Filed under: uncultured bacterium
Lineage: Bacteria
Description: partial 16S ribosomal RNA
Rfam family: Bacterial small subunit ribosomal RNA
Source: RNAcentral